AUACUAAAGGUAGAUUCAGCAUCAUGUAGAAGUUGAGGAAGUCGACUCGUCGGCACUGAUUCCAAGGAAUAACGCUUAUUCUCAAUAAGGUAGGAACUUGCAUAAGUAGUAACUCUCACUAAAAAACCCAAAGGCUAUGGCAAAAACUCGAGUAGGGACAAAAUCCAUAGUCUAAGGAAAAAUGUAUGAGAAAUGCAAAGUUAAAAGAAACGUUUACAGGACGUCAUCAGGGAUAUGACCAGCCCAAGGUGGGUCCUCAUUAAAACCUAGUUAGGUAGCAAAAACCCAUUGGAAAAAAUGCUCCUAAUCGUAGGGAAAAAGAGUACAUUAAGAUCAAGCAAGUAUCUACAUGAUACUCCCCCUGAGUUUGACAUAAUUCCAAAGAGAAAUAGCAAAGUUACAACUUAGAAAGUUUACGCAUACCAAUUCCAUGAACAAGCUUCUGAAACGUCGCAUUCGGCAGUGAUUUGGUGAAGAGGUCGGCCAGAUUAUCUUGCGAACGGAUUUGCGUGACUUCAAUCUUCUGAUGCUCUUGUUGUUAAUGUGUAAAGAAAAACUUCUGCACAAUGUGCUUGGUGUUGUCUCCUUUGAUGUAACCCUUAUUGAGCUGUUCGAUGCAACCUGCGUUGUCCUAAAAAAUUGUCGUCGGGGCAUUAACGGCGGGAUGAAGAUCGCAAGAGCUUCAAAUAUGGCCCACUACUGCUCUUAACCAAAAGCAUUCUUGAGUUGCUUCAUGUAAGGCGAGAAUUUCAGCAUGGUUAGACGAAGUGGCAACUAAGGACUGUUUAGUUGACUACCAAGAGAUUGCAGUGCCUUCAACGGUAAAGACAUAACCCGUUUGAGAACGCGCCUUGUGCUGAUCGGAUAAGUAUCUAGCGUCGGCAUAACCAAUAAGGUGAGAAUCAACCCGAUGAGCAUAGGGUGCGGCAUCACUUGAGGAUUCGUAGGGAUAGAACAAGCCCAAAUCCGUAGUACCCUUAAGGUAAUAGAAGAUGUCUUUCACGCCAGUCUAAUGUCUGUGUGUUGGUGCAUUGCUGUAUCUUGCCAAAAGAUUAACAGCGAAGGUGUCGGGUCUAGUGCAUUGAGCUAAGUACAAUAAAGUGCCUAUCACACUUAGAUAAGGAACUUCAGGCUCCAAAAUCUCUUCAUCAUCCUCUUUUGGACGGAAGGGAUCUCGUUUUACAUCUAGUGUACGAACGACCAUAGGAGUACUGGAAGACUUCGCUUUAUCUUCAUUCAAACGGCACAACUUUUUGGGUGUAGUUCGAUUGAUGUACUAGGAUUCCAUCCGAACAAUGCUCUAUAUCGAGACUGAGACAGUAUUGAGUCUUACCUAGAACUUUCAUCUCAAAUUCUGACUUCAGGUGCGAAGCAGUUCUCGUGAGCUCUUCACGAGUUCCGAUGAGAUUCAUGUCAUUGACAUAUACUGCAACAAUCGUAAAUCCGGAAUGUGACUUUUUAAUGAACACACAAGGGCAUAGUUCGUUGUUCACAUAUCCCUGACUAGUCAAAUACUCACUUAGACAGUUAUACCACAUUAUUCCAGAUAGUUUCAAAUCGUAGAGUGAACGCCUCAACCAAAUUGAGAGCGUGUUCUGAGGUUUGGAAAUAUUUGAACCAGUCAAUGUAAGUCAUUCGGGAACUUUCAUAUAAAUUUCCGUAUCAAGAUCCCCAUAGAGAUACGUGGUUACUACGUCCAUCAGCUGCAUAUCCAGUUUUUCAGAAACUACCAGACUGAUAAGGUAGCGAAAAGUAAUCACAUCCAUAACGAGUGAGUAAGUUUCAUCAUAGUCAAUCCCGGGACGUUGCGAGAAACCUUGUGCUACAAGACAAGUUUUGUAACGCACAAUCUCGUUUUUCUCAUUAUGCUUCCGAACGAAAACCCACUUGUAGCCAAUGGGCUUCAUAUGUGGAGGAGUAGGAACUACAGGUCCAAACACCUUACGUUUCGCAAGUGAAUCGAGUUCGACUUGGAUUGCUUGUUUCCAAUUUGACCAAUCAACUAUACGUUGACAUUUAUCAACGGAACACGGUUCAAUGUCCUUACUUAAUAUGAUCUCAGUAGUUACUGUAAAUGCUAAUGCAUCAUCGAUAAUCAUCUCAUUUCUACGCUACAUCAUCUAAGCUAGUAUAAGAGACCAAAAUCUCAUGAUUCUCAGGAGGAGGAUUCGUCUCUUCAAGAACGCUUCCGUAAUCUAGAAUUUCCUCAUGAGUUGGGUAGAAUGAGUAAGCGAUAUUCAGAUUCACGGUAGGCUCUUCAGGACCUUAUGCCGUGGUUUUCCUCUUCCAGGGGUGUGAAUCCUUUGAACCAAGGGGUCUGCCACGUUUUUGUGUAGGGGCAGAUGAUUGGCUAGCCGCUAAUGUACGUGGAUCACCAGAAUUGACAUCCCGGGCUUCCAGAAGGGCAGUCCGUCGUACAUUUGGUACAUCCAUCUUUGCAGGCGUAUUCGCAGCUGGAAUAUGUGAUCUUGUCACGCGCGCUAGAUUGGUGAAAGCAUCUGGCAUGCUCUAAGCUAUGCUCUGGAGAUCUAAUAUGUGCUGCACUUCAGCUUCGAACUGAGGAGUGCGGGGAUCUAAAUGAGACAAAGUGGAAGUCAUCCACAAUAAUUUGUGUCGUUCAUUAGGAACAUUGAUGUUCUUAUCUCUCCAUAACGGCGGGAAGACUGUCUCAUAGAAGUGACAAUCAGCAAAACGAGCGGUAAACAGAUCGUCUGUCAAAGGUUCUAAGUAACGAAUAAUUGAAAGAGAAUCAUAUCCGACAUAGAUUCCCAUCCUUCGCUGAAGCCUUAUUUUUGUACGUAAGGGCGGCGAGAUCAGCACAUAUACCGCACAACAAAAAACGCACAGAUGCGAUAUAUCGGGUUCGCAUCCAGUGACCAACUGAAGGGCACUAAAUGGUUGUGUCGCAAUAAGCCUUAGGCGGACUAACUUUGCUGCGUGCAAUAUUGCAUGGUCCCAAGCAGCGAUCGGGAACUUGGUACGUAUGACCAAUGAUCGAGCAAUCAUUUGUAAGCAUUUAACGAAAGCCUCUGCCAGGCCGUUCUUGGUGUGAACAUGGGGUACAUGAUGUUCAUCUUCAAUCCCAACUGACAUGCAAUAGUCAACAAAAGUUUUAGAUGUGAAUUCUCCAACAUUAUCCAAUCGAAUAGAUUUGAUCGGAUAAUCAGAGUGGUGAGCCCUGAGCUUGAUAACCUGAGCCAACAGUUUGGAGAAUGCAACGUUCCUUAUGGAAAACAAGCACACAUGUGCCCAACGUGUGGAAGCGUCAACCAAAAACAUAAAAUAUCUAAAUGGUCCGCAGGGAAGUUGAAUCGGUCCACAAAUGUCCCUCUGAAUCCGUUGUAGAAAAAAUGGGAGGAUUUGAACGAAUCUUGUCAUAAGAAGGCUUAGUAAUAAGCUUUCCCAUAGAACAUGUUUGACAUGCGAUUUCAUGGAUCAAACCUAAGCUUCGGGUUAGUGGAUGCCCGUGUAAAGAUUUGAGGAUACGGCACAUCGCUAUUCGUCCUGGAUGUCCCAAACGAUCAUGCCAAAGCGUAAUUUCGUGCACGGUCCCUGUGGUAGGGCCGGCCACAUAGUGGCAUUCUAUGGGGCGUAUGGUCGUAGUAUAUAGACCACUCGGGAUACGCUCUAUCUUCUUGAGAAUACGCUUCUGGCCAUAUUUGUAGGAAGUUAUGCACAUAAAUUCAACUCCGUUUUCUACGUGGUAAUUGUUAUCUUUAAUGUCCUUGAAACUGAGUAACGUUCUUCUGGAACGUGGAGAAUAGAGUGCCUCAGCAAUGGUCAAGAUUGUACCAUUAAACAACAUUAUACGUGCCUUACCGUAUCCUUCUAUCAGGUUGGAUGGGCUUGAGAGGGUUGUCAGAGAUGCAUUCUUAGGUAUGAAGUUAGUGAAAUAGAUGCGUUCACGCAAAACAGUGUGCGUGGUUGCAUUAUCUGCCAGACAACUAACUUUCCCACUAGUCAUACCUAGAAUGAAAAAUUAAUUUGAAUCGGUCACAUGCAUAAAAGUUUAUAAAAACAAAUAUCAAUUCAAAAAUAAUUUCAUUUAUUCAAGGAUUAAAACUUAAUAUCCAAAACAAAUCGCCAACGAAUAAUCCAAAAACAUAAAGGAAAAUUGUUCAAAAUCAACAAAAAACAAGGGGGGGUUCGGCCACUAGGUAGAAUUCGGCCCCAAUGGUCUUAUUUUAACUAAAAAUAAGUCUAUGUCUAAGAUUCUAAUCUUCCAUAGGGGUGGUAUCCUCCUGAAAGUCAGAAACCUCCAUUUUUGUAGUCUCCAGUUCGUCCACUUGCAUGAAGUUUGAUUCAAAGCUUAAAUUUUUAUUGAAAAAUUAAACCUUAAAAUUUUUUGACAAAUAUUUCGUCAGGCAAGAUUUAUAAUUUAAAAAAAAAAUCUGAAAUUUAAAAGAUAAAUUUUAUUUAAAUCCAUAUAACUUCUUUUUACACCCAACUUAAAUUUUAAAUGUUAAUUGUCAUUUUUAUCCUAUUGCAUAAUUACUAUUAAGUACAAAAUAAAAUUAAUAAUAAAACUCAAAUUUAUCAAUAAACUCACACACUAUAAUUAAACUCUACCAUCACUCUGUGUUUAUCCUACAUUUAUUCCGGCUAAAACCUAAUAGCUCUUAUAGAGAAAAACAAGUUUUUUUAUUGGUGGAUGGUGAUUUUGAACUUUUGAAUCCUCCAUGACUCGAUUUAUGAAUUAUUCAAGACAAAUAAUUAUUUCUUUCAAUUAAUUUACAUCCAAACAUGACAUAACAUGCUAAUGAACCCUAAAAGGGGCUCAUAUUUUAGCACAUUAGAAGGUGAAAUAUCAACCAAGGCAUCUUAGGUAAAGCAUGAUAAGCUGAAAGUGAUUUUUGCAGGUGUGAACGUCACAUCCCGGUCACAACUCCGUCGUAGCACGAUAUUGUCCACUUUGGGCCCCGUUCACUCCCUCACGGUUUUGUUUCUGAGAACUCACACGAGAACUUCCCGAUGUCACCCAUCUUGGGAAUGCUCUCUCUCGAACUCGCUUAACUUCGGAGUUCCAAUGGAAUCCAAAGUCAGUGAGUUCCCAAAAGGCCUCGUGCUAUAAGAGGUGGGCAUGUAUGUAUAAAGCACAUCACCCACUCUUCGUUGGUCGAUGUGAGAUGUUACAAUCCACCCCACUUAAAGGGAACUCGGCGUCCUUGCCGACACAUCCGCACCGAACGGUAGAGUGGCUCUGAUACCAUUCUGUCACAUCCCAGUCUCGGCUCCACCGUAGCACAAUAUUGUCCUCUUUGGGGCCCGGCAACGCCCUCACGGUUUUGUUUCUGGGAACUCACACGAGAACUUCCCAGUGGGUCACCCAUCCUAGGAAUGCUCUCGCCCGAACUCACUUAACUUCGGAGUUCUAAUGGAAUUCGAAACCAGUGAGUUCCCAAAAGGCCUCGUGCUAUAAGAGGUGGGCAUGUACAUAUAAGGCACAUCACCCCCUCUCCGUUGGUCUAUGUGGAAUGUUACACUGAAUAACUAUAAGAAUAUGGGAAAUCAGAAAAAGAUGAACACGCAAAAAUUUAUAAAGUUGGUAGAGAUAUUUAUGAACAAGACAAAUGGGUGUAAAGAUAAAUUUACAUAUUGAAUUGAGUUUGUGAGGUAUUUAAGGUAGUAAAUUUGGGUUUAAAGAGAUAUUGAUAGUUUAGUUAAAAACCAAAUGGGUGUAAAGAGUAAGUUGGGUGUCGAAAGAGGUUACAUGAGUUUAAAUAAAAUUUCCCAAAUCUUAACCCAACGAAUGAUUUCGUGGUAAAAUUUAAUUAAAAAUAACGAUUUAUUUAAUAUUAAAAAAAAUCAAAGGUAUAUUUAAACUUAAUAAACUAAAUCCUAUAAUAUUAAAAUCAUAAUAUUAAACAAAUUUAUUUCAUUAACAAAAACAUAAUGUUUGCACAAUUAUAUUGUAAAUUAAAAAAUAAAUUUAUUCUGAAUGGAAAAUUUGUUCAGUCGUCCAUUAACCCGAAAGACAUCAAUUUUCAAAAUUUAUAAAUCCUGAAAAUUACCACUGAGCCAUUGCCAUUCGUCCAUCCUAUGCUCAAAUUCAAGAGACGAAUGGGUAAGAGCUUCCUCAUGACCUUCAAAAGUUUUGUAGUGGUUGCGUGGCUCAUACUUCCACUCCAUGAACCAAUCAUUCCACAAACGGUUUGUGUAGGCCGUCGUACCUGGUCUUCCACGCCAAUCUCAAAAUUGAUCUAAACUAGAAAAAAAUGAAGUAUUACGCAUAAAAAUACAUUAAGUAAUUAUCUAGAGUAAUUAAAAAUAUUAAAUUAAAAAAAAAAAAAAUUUACCAAGAGAUAUGCCAUCAGCCCUACUUCGUUUCAGGGGAGAUGUUCUUCCAUCUAUCAAUAGUCAUAGGGCACCUUGCUCGGAUGAUGACUCCUAUCUCGUGAGCCAAUAUUGAAUGAACACAGAGGUCCGCCGCAUGCAUAUAUCUUGGGUCAUGUUCUACCCUCACUCUUAGGCCUGGUUUGGUACUGAGGUGAUUCUGAAAAAAGUCCCAGCUUUUUUAUGUUUGGUAAACAUUCAGCUUCAAUUUUUUUUCACAGUUUUGGGUGAAAAAAAACCAAAAACACAAAGCUGCAAAACCCAGCUUUGAAAAACCAGCUUUUUUUCAUAUCUGUUUUAAAUAAAAGUUUAUCAAACACUAUAAUACUGCUUUUUUUUUUCAAAAACAUUUUUACAGAAAAGUUUACUAAACACUCUGCUGCUUUAUUUCACAGCUGCUUAUUUUCACAACACAGCAGAAGCAAUUUUUUUUCAAAACACAGUAAUACCAAAUCAGCCAUUAAGCCAAGAUUCUUCUAGACGCCCCGCUCACGGGGCGUCUUCCAAAACAAACUGUACCCAUUCUCAUAUCACCCAUCCCUAAACCGGACCGCCCUCUUUCUUGAUCCCCACAACAUCAAAUCAUUCCCCCACCUCCCAAACCCUUCCCUCACCAACUCUCCAAUUUUUUCCAACCCAAAUUCUCAUAAUUACAAAUUCAAAAUAAUUGAGGAUAGAUAUCAGACCUUUAAAUUUGUGAGAGUUUGAGAGUUGAAUAGAUGGCAAGUGUGAGAGUUUGAGAGAGGGGAAACGAUUUUGAGUGGGGUAGGGGGCAUUUUGGAGAGAAAAGAGAGAAUAAUCUACGACCUAAUAUAAAACGUCAGGAUUUUGCUCGACGAACCAUUUUAUCGGACAAAUGUCUUAAAUUAAAUAAAAACACACGGUAGAAUGUUAAUUUUUCCGACGAACACAUCCAUCGGCAAGUGUUCUAUAAAAAAAAAAUAGGGCCAAAAUUUUGGCCAAAUAAAUUGUUGAAAAAGCACUUCGGCCGAUGAGUUUUUGGUCAGUCAAUUGGGCAAACCCAAAAUUUGGAGGGAAAUUCGAUUUUUAAGAAAAAAAAUCGGGGGAUAUUUUUCACAUUGCUCGACGAAUUUUAGGUUUGGCGUAACGAAAUUUUAUACUUUGCCCUAUGAAAUUACCUUUUUCCAUCGGGUAAGUAAUAAAAUUAAAAAAUAUCUCCAAAGUUUGAAAUUUUUUUUGGGAACAAUUCAAUGAUAACCGAAUUUGAUGAUCAGGUGUAUUCAAUAUGGGUUUGAACUCUCAAGUAGCAUCUUUAGAAAAAAUAACAUAAAUCAAAAGUGAUAUAGCCGUUAUAUCGUUAUGCUAAGUUUGUAAAUUUCCAACCUUUUGAACCAAUCCCUACUCCCUCCACCUUAGUUUUGAUAGUGUUUUAUGUAUGCAUUCUCGUACUAUACCGAAACAAUUUUGACAAUUGGAUCAUGGAAAAUAAUUUUGUAGAAUUCGUAUCCCCACAAUGCAAUCAUUUUGUGAUAACCACUAUUGUAAGCUUUUUAAUUCAUGAUCCAUUCGAUUCACAUGACAACCAGCAUUUGAAGUUUCGCACAAUGAGUCUUUUAACCCUUAAUCUAUAAAUCGAGAUUUACAAAAUAAACGGUUCGAAUCGUUGAAAUUCGAUUUAAAGUGGAUUCCACAACUUUUAUACAAUUCUAAAUUUUGUAUAAAAUGAUAUAGUAUUUGAGUCAAUUCAUGUAAAUUAUAUUUAACCGUUCCAAUGCCAACAAAGUUGACCCACUUCACUUAUUGCAUUGACUUGACUCAAUACUGGUUUGUUACUAACGUGCUUUUAUAAAAAGUGAGUAUAAAAAAAAACUGAGCUCAAAAAUGUGUUUGGUAAACACUUAAAAACAUCUUAUUUUCACAGUUUUGGGUGAAAAAAAAGCUGAAAACGUGAAGCAACAUAAAUGUCGAAUUAUGAUUUCUUGUUAAACGUUGAAUUAUGAUUUUUUGUUAAACGUUGAAUUAUGUGUUUAAGAUAAAGUUUAUAAAUAUUUUUCUUUUAAAAAAAUUAUUUUUAGUAAUUCACCUUUAUUUGUUAAGAAAAUUAAAUUAAUGGCACAUCUAGUAUUAUACAAUUUUUUGUCAUUUCACAUAGUUACAACUGUUUUACAUAAAAAUUUACCAAACAAUAUAAUACUACUUUUUUUUUCCAAAAGCACUUUUACAAAAAGGUUUACCAAACACAGCUACUUUAUUUCACAACUGCUUAUUCUCACAUGACUUUCUCUGUUCCCGCGAAAGUGUGGAAAUCUAUCAACUUCUCAACCAUCCACAAAAAAAAAAACCCAAUAAAAAAUAGGGAACUUUAAAGAAAAGCUCCCGAUACUGUUCACUUUAACGAAAAACCACAUUUUUACACUAAAAAGUCAAUCUUGGUACUAUUUACUUUACCCUUUAUUUUUUCCUUAUCGUUAAAACUCAAAGUUUUCAAACCCUUUUCAUUAGUUUUGCUUAAAAAAUAUCCCACAAAACAGUAAAUUUAUUAACCGUAGAGAAAAAGGAGACCCACGUACAGGUAAUUUAUUUCAGGAUAAAAAUGUAAGGUAUUUACGUGCGUAAUAAAUAGAUGUCAUAAAAUUGAGACAGUGAAAGUGAGUGCAAAACAAAGGAAAACAGAGGAGGUUAAAAACAAAACUAAAAAAGUUAAUAAAUAUUUGUGUGGGGUUUUCUCAGGUGUGGUGUGCAGUGGCAGCCGUCCCGUCACGACUUUGACAGAAUAUUUACCGCGACAAUCAUCAUCGUCGUCAACAACCACACCCCCACACCAGCUAAUUUUACACAGAAAAAAAGAUAAAAUAGUACCCAAUAAGGCAAUAAAGAAAAACAGAGCGUUUUUUGGUCGGGUUUUGAACUUUUUAUUGUAGCUGGAGCUUCAUUUGCCACUUCAACCGCCUCAUCUGGGUCCCCUUAAACCUUGAUCCAAAAGGGUGUGCAGAAGUUUAAUUUAUCUGGGGUUUGAUAGAUUUUUUCUGGGUUUUGGUUUAUUUUUUUUAGAAGGGGUGGGUGUUCUGAGUGCUGGUUGAGGGCCAUUUUUGUUGGUUUGGGGCAAUUGCUUUUGUGUUUUUGUGAAAGUGCUUUUGGGGAUUGGAAUGUGGAGGGACGCCGGAAUUCCUGCUGAUUCUUUCUAUGAAGUCCGCCCUGAGUGUACAGAUGUGCCCAAAACCCGCUUCAAGAUCAAGGUUUCUCCUUCUGUUCUUUGUUUGAUUGUUGGAAUUAGAUAUAAAGAUUGAUUUUUUGGGUAUCCAUUAUCUUAAUUUUGAUCUGUUUCCCAUUUGAAAACUAAGAUAUUGCCUAAUGCAUCAGAUUUGAUAAUUGGUGGUGAUUAAUUUUGGUUAAGAUCAUGAAUUGUGUUCAUAUGGAUCACAAAAUGUUGUGCAUUUUCCAAUUUUAUAGAAUUUUUGGAAGGAAGAAUGUUGGGGACUGCGUUAAUGUUAACAUUAAUUGGUCAGCUUGUUGAAUUUUGUAAGGAGAAUGUAGGAUAGAUAUAGGGAUUAUUCGGGCGAUAAAAAUCUGAGUUAUCAGGAUCUUGUUGGUUCUCAAUAUGGAUCCGAGAGUCAAUAUGCUCCUACUCGGUAACGCCCACCCAAUAUGUUGGGAAUGGUCUGGUGUUGGUUAUGCACAACUUUAAAUAAAUUCUGAAUGCAUAAACGCUUACGUACACGAACAUGAAAAAGAUAAAUUGUGAGCAUUUAAGGGAAAUAUACCUAUAUCUGCACAAAAAUUUUCCUCAAACUCCAUCAUGUCAGGAUCUUUUAUUUGAAAGUUUUCUGAAGUUUGGACAUUUUUAUCUCUUUCUCCUUCUCCAUUUAUCAAGAUAUGUUUGUAAUGCCAAUUUUUGCUGGAUACCAAAGUACUAUGGAUCUGAACAUUGAUCUAGAUUAUGGUUCAUAGGGGUUAGCUCUUAUAAGAAUCUGAUUUGAUUAUAUUAAGGCUUGUAAACAUUGAGAAACUGAUAAAGACUCAUUGUGUAUUCUAUAAAAUGUGUUUGCAAUUAUCUUAUUACUUCAUAAUGAUUUCAAUGUCUCAUUACCGUGAUGUGCUUCUUCCAAUUUCAACGCCUUAUUUCUAUUUGCUCAUGCAGGCAGGUAAAACUCUUAGUGUAAGGAAAUGGCAGGCUGCAUUUAGUCCUGAAGGCCAACUGGAUAUAGGCAAGACUUUAAGUCGAAUUUAUCGUGGGGUGAGUGAAUCUUCAUAAUUCAUAGCUGCGCCCCUUAGUAUGUUAGAAUUUUCGUUAUAUUUAUAAAAAUCAGUUUUUCAUCCUGUGUAGCUAUCAGAGUGUCUCGACAAUCCUAUCAAUACUCGUCUUUAUGGAAUCACUUUUUUCUGUUUUUGUUGUUGUUGUUUUUUUAUUGUAAAAUCAAAUGAAAAGCCUACCCUUAGCCUGCUUACAUGAUGGGAAAUAUCUACGAAAUCAGAGCCAUCGGUUUAGUGAAAAAAUCAGAUUAACUAUUACUUAAUUUUAUUUAAGUAGUAUUUGCGCAUGAAAUAACAUAGAUGCUUCAUUGUUUGACCUUCCAGCUGUUGUUAGCCUGGUACUAGUUCUUCAUUUUGUGGAUAUCUUUAACUUAUUCUUUUAAAUAGUUUUCCUCAUGAAAUAAUCAAUUUACAAGGCUAGUAGUCAGCUUCAAUCCAUAAUUAUAUUAUAUUUGGCAAUCAGGGAAUUCAUCCAUCAAUUAGAGGAGAAGUUUGGGAAUUUCUACUAGGUUGUUAUGAUCCUAAGAGCACAUUUGACGAAAGAGAGCAGAUUCGGCAAAGUCGAAGGUAUAUCUUGUUUCCUGCCUUACUUGGGUUACUUGAAAUUUAUUUAUUCACUUGCCUUUUUUCUUUCUCUUUAUCUAAUGAAGUUUCCUAGUGGUAGUACACUUGCAAAUGAUGAUAACAGUCUAAGGAGAAAUUUAUUUCUGGUUCAUGUAUCUUUUAGUACUGCAGUCCAAUAUGUUUUGUAAUUCAAAGAUGAUCUUUUGGGAAAUGAAUGGUCAAUACCAUGAGUUGAGUUUUAUAACUUGCAAUGUACCCGAGUAAAUAAAUUUAGUUGACAGCAAUGUUGAAACUUGCUAGCAAAAGACUAAGGGUUUCCUCUUCAUACGAUAGUGAUCCAGACUCCAGCAUCUCUAUUUUGUGUGGGCUGUGUAAAUUCCCAAACUUACAGGCUCUACAUAAUGUUAUCUUGUCAGAUUCCAACAUGUUAUGCUUCACCUGUCCCGUUAUUCGGUUUUAUUUAUGAAGUAUCAUGUUUUGCCAUUUUCAGAGUGCAAUAUGCUAGGUGGAAGGAAGAUUGCUGCCAAAUGUUUCCUGUUGUUGGGAGUGGUAGGUUUAUCACUGCCCCCGUAAUCACUGAAAAUGGUCAACCCAUUCAGGAUCCCAUAGUACUUUCACAAAUAAAUCCAGACAAGGGUUCUCAGGAUAAUGGUUCAAGCACAAACCGUAAUAAUGCUAUGGAACCAGUAAUGGACAAAAAAGUAAUCCAGUGGAUGCUUACUCUACACCAAAUAGGUUUGUGAUAUAUUUAUGUGUUCAUAUUUUAAUAUGCAUCCUAUGGUUAUUUUGGAGGAAUAUGUUUUUCUUAUGGUCCGGCAUUUUUUCUUUUUGUUGUUGGAUGUACAACUCAGACUUUUUUAUUGUUCAAUUCUCUGUUUUCGUCACGUCUUUACAUAACCUACCUGCAAGAUGUGAAAAGUACUGAACAUGAUGGAUUGCAGAAUUUUUCAUGUUUUAUCUUGAUAGGGUAGAUAACUUUUCUGUUUGUCUUUAUUUGUAUGCCAGGUCUUGACGUGAUUCGUACUGACAGGACACUAGUAUUUUAUGAGAAGCAAGAGAACUUAUCAAAACUUUGGGAUAUUCUAGCUGUUUAUGCCUGGAUAGAUACAGAUGUUGGCUAUUGUCAAGGUUGGUAACAUAAGAGUGAUCAUUUUAGUACUGAUUGCAUCCCUUCCCUACACUUUGGGAAGGGACAAUAUUUUCAUAUUUGAUUUUUUCAAACGAAAAGAAAAUUAUGUUUCUAAACUCCACAAUUCAUGACGUGAUGAUCAGGAAUGAGUGAUCUUUGCUCCCCCAUGAUUAUCCUUCUAGAUGAUGAAGCAGAUGCAUUUUGGUGCUUUGAACGAUUGAUGCGCAGACUGGUAAAACUUUGAGCUAAAUCUUCGACUUUGUUUUUCAUUCUGGUGUUGCAUCAAAUCAAUGCCUAUCAUGUGUGUCUAAAAACUAGGGUUGCUAAGCUCUUCUUUCCAGAAAUUAACAGAGGAGAUGUGCAAUCUUAAAUCCAUGUAUUAAUGAGAUUCUUUAGAAGUUUUUGUUGAUAUCCUUCUGUUUUUGAAAAAUUGCUACAAUAUUUUUUUUUUCAUUUGAAGUUACAUGCUGUUUCUUUAAAGCUACAAAGUUAUUUGGUGACGGUUAAUUUGGAUUCCAGUUUCUUAUGACUUGUUCUUAUUUGAAAUUUAAAGCGAGGAAAUUUCAGAUGUACCGAUAGCUCUGUUGGGGUGGAGGUGCAACUAAGUAAUCUGGCUUCAAUUACUCAAGUCAUUGAUCCAAAACUUCAUGAGCACUUAGGUAUUGUCUUUUUAAUUUGUUGUUUACAAUUUAUGUCCAUUUACUUGUCAAACAUAGAGAAAAUAUAUGUUUCUUUAUCAAAAAAUUUGGAGACAUCAUAUGCGAUUUUCAUCAUAUUUAAUUAUUCAUAAUCUUCUUCUCAGAAAUGAUCAUGAAAAUACAUGUUCGCCAACCGUUUGGAAGAUAUUCGAUACAUUUAUUUAAGGAAAAAAAAUGUACCGUUUAUUAGGAUUUAAAUAUCAAAUUGGCUAUGUUUGUGUCAUGUUUCUCUUACAUCGCUCAACAUAUUGCUCAAAAAUGAGGGAGAUAGUAACAGAUAUGCUUAAUUCGGAGUGCAGAGACACUAGGUGGAGGUGACUAUUUAUUUGCUUUCCGGAUGCUUAUGGUUUUGUUCCGUCGAGAAUUCUCUUUUUGUGAUUCUUUAUACCUUUGGGAGGUGAGAAUAAGUUACUGUUAGUAACUUUCUGAUAUUUUUCUGUUCUCCCUUUUGGAUUUUUUUUAUUAUAUCUAAUUAUUGCAUGUAUAAAUACUUUUACAGAAUCCUUGAAAUUAUUUCUGGGAACCCACUUCAUUCUUUCCUAAGUAAUCAAAAUUUUCUCCAUAAUUCCACUUAUAUAUAGUUCCUUGAAUUUUAAUACAUGCAGAAAUUUUUGUAUUAGACCUUAUUUCUUCCGACUAAAAGUUGGCAAGCUAAUACUUACUUGACAAGUACUUUUUGAACAUAGGUUUUAAGAACUAUUGCACGCAUUUGAUAUUAAAGACCAAUACCCCAGAGCAUUUGUUUGUGUGAUUGGGAUAUAUGUGUUCCUGAUUGAAUAGUAUCUAUGCACUUCUGCUCUAUAAUGAAGAAAGGGCGUCGUGCGCAGUAAAUUUCUGUAGCUAUAUAGAUAUUGCUUUUUCUUUUUUCGUUUUUUGCCCAAAUAUAUCCUUGUUAUUUGUGUGUAAGUAUAUAUGGUUAUGUAUAUUUUUAUAAUAACUAUUGCACAUUUCUUAUGGUGCAUCCCGAACUUAAAAGAACUUAUUUAUAUUGGUAAGAAUUGAUCUCAUUUAAACUUUGACAGAUGAUGUGGGCCCUUGAAUACGACCCUGACUUGUUCAAUGUGUACAAAGAAUCUGAUCCUGAUACUGAGAAGGCUGAGGGGCCUAAAGGGAAACCAAAGUCAACACGUCAGUGUGGGAAGUAUGAGAGGGAAAACAUGAAAAGUGGAGCAAAGAAUUCAGAAGCACCGCUCCCAAUUUCAGUUUUCCUUGUUGCCAGUGUCCUGAAAGAUAAGAGCUCAAAGCUACUUACAGAAGCUCGGGGUCUCGAUGAUGUUGUUAAGGUUAGCAUUAUCAGUUGACAAUUUGCAAUUCUUAGAACCGAUUGACUUUCGGAUUAUAUUGAGAAUGAUAUUACAUGACUUAAGCAGAAAACAUGUCCAUGUGGGGACAGCCUAGUGAUAAAUUCAUCUAAAACAAUAAACAAGAAUUACUCAUAGUAAGAAUCCGCUGGCCUUGGCCAAACUAGGGUCCAGGAUGUUGCGUGGAUUUGGGAUAUAUAGUAAUUUACUCUGAAAUGUGAAAUGAAGUAUGAAAAAAAUAGGAAUAGGAGACUGGAGCGGCGACAUUUAUCAGCCAACCCUAUUAAAUCUUUCCUUGAAAAAGUGGAUUCAGCUAUGGUAGUCAAACAUGGUUCGGAGAAGAAUAUGUUGCUAUCGUUUUGUUCUUUCACAAAUGAUUACAUAUAAAUUCUAAAAGCCAAAUGAAACUGUUCCAAUGUUAUUAUCUUGGGUUUCCAAUUUUUUCUGUGUAGUUUUACAGCUUACAUUAGGUUGCAAUCAAGAUCAAAACCCUAAAAAAUGAUCACAUCUUCAUGUUGUUUUGUAAGGGAUUGGACCAUGAAUUUGACAUGGUUUUACCUCAACGGUUCUUAAAAAUUUCAAAUGCGUUGUCUAAUCCCUAAAAGAAAACAUUAAAAGUGAUCAUUUUAAGGAUUUUUGGCUUGAUUGCAACCUAAUGUUAACUACGAGGAUGUAGUUAGGAGUUUUUCAGGACGAAAUUGGAAGCCCUAGCAAACUGCAUGGACUAAAAUUGUCUUUAGGCCAUUUCUAACGCCCUAAGGGAGAAGUUCAAAAUAAUUCUCUAGAGUCGUUAGGGACUGGUGAAGAAUCUUUGAUCCGUUUGAUAAACAAAUACUCGAGCUAUCAAUUUUUCAUUUAAAUGAGUUGGAUCUUAAUUUUUGUACAACUUUUACCCGUUUACCUCACUCAUUCUCUCUGCCAGAUAUUGAAUGACAUAACUGGAAAUUUAGAUGCCAAAAAAGCUUGCACUGGGGCAUUGAAACUCCACAAGAAAUAUCUGAAAAAGGUACUUCAAUUUAUUUUUUAGCAGUGUAGAAUGUUGCUAUUCAAUUUUCAUGUCUAUAUUUGUGCAUUUCUUGUGCGUGUGCGUGCGCUCAUUUCAAAUGUUCUUAUAUUAAUCACUCAAAGUUGCAACAUCAUUCGUUGAUUUGUUACUGCAGGCGCCCAAGAAGACAUAGCAUCACUUUACACACGAUUUUUUAGCCACCCGAAAAAAGUAAGACGAUGUUGCUUACAUUGUUUUUUACCUGAUUUGGCAAGAGAUUAUAAUUUACUUGCACAUGAUCUUGGCUUAGAGUUGAGAGAGCUGCACAGUUGGUCCACUGUGCAAAAUAUUCCCAAUAGAAAUUGUUGUUUGUGAGAUUAGUCCAAAUUAAUUGUACAUUACAAACAUUCUUUAUAGGCCUAUAUUUUGUACAACCAUAACCGAACCGAGGCCUAUAUUUUGUAUAACGAUACGUUGUUCGUAAUGAUAUUAUGAGGGCUGGAAAAUGCUGAAGCUUAUGCAGUGCUCCAACCCUAAGACAUGAAAUUAACUUGCAGUUUUCUUUCUGAAAAUGUCUUCUUGUAUUUCCUUCCUCUCAUAACCAUAUGCAGUUAGUGCAGGCACUUAAUUUUUUUCAUUCAGUAAUUAUAUGGGAACUUUAACGAAAAGCACCCGGUAUUGUUCACUUUAACGAAAAACCAUAUUUUUACACUAAAAAGUCAAUCCUGGUACUAUUCACUUUACCCUUUAUUUUGUCCUUAUCAUUAAAACUCAAAGUUUUCAAGCUUUUUUUAUUAGUUUUCCUUAAUUAUAUUGGGAAAAGAUGUGGGUAGUUCUCCUAGUGUGUCUGUGUUUAGAAAGAAGUGAAAAUGCAAUAGGUAUAACCUACACAAAAGUUCAUUGCAACAUAAACACAACAAAAGAAUUAGAAAUGAAAAGAUUGGCCACAAGUUGGCAAAUUUAGGGCUCGUUUAUAGGAAAUAAUUACGUUUGUAAGCGCUUUUGUUCGAAAUACUUUUAUUAUAAAUAUGUAGAAGUUUUCUUUAUGUCGAAAAUCCAAGUGCUUUCUGGAAGCAUGUCUACAAUCUAGAAAAGCACGUUUAAAUUUUUCGGCCAAAGAUAGUUGAAAUCAUUUUUUAUUGUCAUAACGUAUUCUAGUCUUUUCAGAAGCAAUCCCAAUACAUGCCUUUUCAAGAGUGCAAGAUAUGACUUUUAUUUUUUAAUUUUUUAUAAUAAGUGAGCAUUUAACAAGUUAAAUAAUAGGCCAGGCACUUAUUCAAACUGAGUCUUGUCACGUAUCUUCUAUCGUUGUAUAAAGAGUCAUUCAUUACAUAACCAUGUAAUAUUAUUUUAUUAUUCCCAAAUUAUAUAAAGAUCAUUUCUAAAAACCUUUUUAACUUGGAAAUUGUUUAGCCAUGAUGAAUGAAUUGAUGAUUCGUUGUAUAAAGAGUCAUUCAUUACAUAAUCACGUUAUAUAUAAAUGACCAAACGGUCUCCAAGCUUAAUGAAUUUUGUAGAUAUAAGAUUUAAAUGAUAAAGAAAAUGAAAAUUUUAAAUUAUAAUGUUUGUACUCUAAAAUGUUGUCAUGUCGUCAUAUAAGAGAAAUGGUUUCUUACAUGGGAAAUAGAUCUUUUUCACCAAGACCACCGGAUCAAGUGAUCUGGAUCCUUAAAAUUUAAUCCAACGGCUAAAGUUAUUAUAACUUUUCAAGGAAACCUUUGUUUUUAGCCGUUGGAUUAAAUUUCAAAGAUAACGAUCACUUAAUCCAAUGAUCUUGGUGAAAGAGAUCAGGAGAGAAUCUCUUUCCUCUUGCAUGAAUGAUCCACACUGACUGAACCUACUCUAGUGUAGGCAAUAUGAACCAUGCUGACUGACUAAACCUACUUUCAAAAGUCAGGAUAGUUUGCGUCGGUAAAGGUUGUGCUCUUUCUUUUUCAUUUCUUAUCCUCACUCAUCAUCCUUCUUCAUCCCUCAUUUCCCGAAUAUACGUUUUUCAUUUUACAAGCAUAAAAAAUAAAAAUAAAGGAACGUAAUAGUUAUCAAACAGACUCUUAGAUUGUUGUAUAUUGAGAGGAGGCAUGGAUAUAAAUGUCAGUUCUGGUAUAGUCCCGUAUUAACUUAUCAUAAACAAGGAAAGAAUGACCACUGGAGAAUUUGACGUUAGCUUAAAUGUGUAGUAUAGUCUUCACUAGUACUGCGGUUUAGUGUAAAGUUUUAUGUACAACUCCAAGGAAUGACAAGUUCGAUAUUUAUUUAUGGUUGACCCGUUAUUUGACUAGCCCACAUCUCUUCCUCCAAUAUAGUUGUAUUAAAAAAGAAAGUAAAAAAAUGGUAUAUAGUUAUUUCUAGUUAUACACAACAUUCAAUAAGGAAUUCUAGGAGGAGCUCCUCACCCCAGGUAACAACAUCAUAAUAGUUUAGAGAAUGUUUUGCUUAUGUAUGGGCCACAUUAUUACAACUUCUAGGAAAUUAUAAAUUGAAAUCUUACGAAACAGAUCCAUGCACCCCUUAAUUAACUUCCUCAAAGAGGUUACCAUCAGAGGCAGGAUCUUUCUGCUCUCACAGAUAGAGCAUCUGGUUAGGAAAAACCAGCAUCUAAGGACAGUUUCAAUUCGAAGUAAAAUGCUCGAAAUCUGCAUGUUUCGGGGAAGUGGUAUUGCAGAGGGAAACUUGCCGCCACCAAUAUCGAGUUUGAAAAUGCCACGAUGAGGGGGAGACCAACCCGAAAGAACCCCUCAAACAAGCUGCCAUCUUAAUUUCUCUACCAGGACAUUAACAAGUAUUUUCAUGAACUAAUUAGAUUAGUGCCAAAUCCUUAAAAGUGGAUUUGUACUAUACUAAUUAAUGACCAUAGUCCUAUGAUACAAAUUUAGGUUCAUCAUCCUUUCCACAGACCAGCUAAUAGAGAUGAUCAUUUAGCGAUUGAAUUAUUAUUAUGAUUAUUUCAGUGUUCAUUGGAAAUUAACACACAUGUUCAUCUAUAUGUGUGCGUAUGUAUCAAUCUGGCUUGUCUUAAAAAUCGAUGUUUGUAUUGUAAUAUGUUAUCUUGAAUUUUCUAGUUACCCUGUUCCAACAUUUGGAACUGCUACAAACAUUAGAGACUGCAUCGAUCCUAGAUACACACAAAAAAAUGCUAGGAAAACAAAAAGACCACGCGAAUCCAUCCUCAUGAUUUGUAUAUAAUAGCUACGCACAUAAAAUCUUAUUCAAAUUAUCAUAACGUUUGUUUUGUGACUCGUUACAAUCUCUUCAUCAUCUGCUUUAUGUGUCUCGAGUUCGAGUAUGCAUGGACGGGCCUCGAAAUCAUGGUAGCAUCGUCACUCAUACAUAGUUCUUUAUCAGCCUUGAGUGCAUAAACACCGGUCUUCUUGCAGCUGACGUCAGACAACACCCAUCACAUGAGGAUGACAAAACAAAUAAAUCCGUCAUUAAUCAUGAAUUCUCAGAAAUAUUAAAACUAAUUAAUUAAUUUUCUAGCUAGUGAAAGCUAGAUAUAUCAAUAAUCUUUAACUAGCUACUGAAACUAACUCAAAAAUACUAUCUUUUGUAACUGGUGGUCAUCACUGUUUGGUGUAGCGUCACUCAGUCUUUACUUUAUUUGAAAAGCGACAUAGGGUUCAAAUCUACGUAGGGCCUAAAUAGAAAAACAAAAGCUAGCCCUAAUUGACGUUAUAAUUAACAUUUCAUUUUGUUUAUAUUUCCACUUUGAACCUCAUUUAUUCAUAUAAUCCAAUGACAAUUGCGAUUGAUGAACAUAAUUAAUUAGAUAUUUAUAUACAAUUAACUACUAAUUACCUGCAGAUAGAACUAGCCUUGCUGAUGGUUAGUGGAAGCGAUUUGUCAUGAAAAGGAAAGACAUGAUGGCUAAACAUAGGACCAAAAGAGCAUUAGACUUGAGAUGCCCUGCAUUGUUCUUGGGGAACACUUUAGGAAGAGCACACUCUUCUCCAUUGAACAACACUCUCGUUGGGAACCCUUGACCCGCUUUGAUAUCGAUAUUAUGAUAGUGCUUCUUCUUGAACGAAAUCACCGAUUGCUGCUUCCCGGGGAUCAUCGGAUUCUUUUUCGGAUCCGUCCCGUUUUUUAUCGCCACCAAGUAGUUCAAACCCUUGAGCCCUGUGAACAAGAUUGUGUUGUUGACUUCCUUUUCCAUCCUCGUACCGUUGAAGGAGUAGACGUUUUCGUAGUCCUGGUAGGCCUUGUUCAUCUUCACCGCGGUGUACCAAUCUUGAAACUGGUCGGUUCCCCAGUUGAAGAGAGUGAGCCUGGCGGUCCACCCGUUGCUGUAAUCAGAGUCGAUGUGCCAGUUCAAGCUGACACCGCAGUUGUCAGGGCACGGAAGCUUUUUAGGCACGUCGUAGUGCUUGAUUUUGGCCCAUGCUUUUGCCUUCUCGGUUCUGUUUGCGAAUGGCACGAGGAGAGCUUCGGCAGGCAAAAGCAUGGCGGAAGCCUUAGGGUUACAUUUGUUCGUCUCAGAUGUUUUGCACCCGCACGCGCACGUGCUGCAUGGAAUCACAGAGGUGCUGUAAUAAGCCGAAAACGAGACGCAGCAUCUGGGGACCGGGGUUUUGGUGAUGUUGCACACCACUUGCCAGCUGGCAAUGGCGUCUGACGUGGCCUGGAGCCCACUUGGGUCGGGGAACUGAGUAGGGUCAACCCUAAUAGGGGGCCCGCAUCUGUAAGUAGGGUUCAGAACGCCACUGAUUUUCCACUGCUGAGGUGGAGUUAUGGCAGUUCUGUUGUCGUCGGGUGGGAUCUUAAACACUUGCAGCUGGAAAAUGGACUGGGACUGUGCAUUGUCCAUGAGGCUCGGCAAGAUGGUCCCGUUGCGGCAGCAGCUGGGCAGUUUGCCGACCUUGGGAUCAUCCUUUCGCUCGGCUGGGAGGUCGGUGAUGACGGGCUUCUUUUCACAGUUCAUGACCUGAGAGAAGUCCAAGUCCUUGUAGAAUUUUCCGGCUUGGCCGUAGAGGCAUGCACUUGUGUCCUUCUUGUGAGUGUAGGCUCCUCUCAUGGUGUUGAUGAACUCUCCCCUCAUCCAUUCCCAGGUUAAGUUCCAGUGGUCGAGGCGGCCGAGCGGGUGGACGUUGUCGAUGGUGACCUGAGCCAGGUAGUUCAUUGUGUAGGUUUGCAUUACAUCGUAUGUGAUUGAGAGAUCCCCGUUCUGACGUGGCAUGAAUUUGGUUUUCUCGACUUUCUUCGCCUUGAAUUUUGGGUCCUUUUUACAGCACACAGACAUUGCAGUCUUCCCUGCAUGAGGAAAACAAAAAGGAUAUGCGUCAAUGCAUGCAUUUGAACCCUUUCAAGGUUCGUAUAUUAGUAUGUUCUUUUUGCCAAAAUAUUUGAUUUGUUAUCUUGUCAGAUAGUGAAUUGGAAUAGUGUUAAUUCGACAUAUGAUAUUGACAUUAUUAUUCACAGGUAAAGCUCACAUGUAUUAGAGAGAGUGUUGAUGUCAGUUUUAUAUAUAUAGUUAGAAAGUUGACCGUAUACAAUAUGACAAAGAAAAUAGUAACUAACACAUAUUUACAUAAUACAAGUAUGAAGAGAUUUAUGGAAUUGAGAUCACGGUUUGACAACAGAGUCAUUGGAAGAAUUAGGAACUGAAUUGAUACUCUUUUCAAGUUUUAUAUGUCUACUUAAUAGCAUUAAUAUAUCUUGGACUAAAAACCAUAUACAUUUCUUGAUGUUCAAUCUAAUCGAUCGUCCUAAAAGAUGUAAAGCCCAGAAAUAAGAACACCAAUUUGAUCGAAAUCAAAAUAUUCAAUCUGAAUCUCAUAAAAUCUUAUGUUCUGCAAACAUAUUUCUCAAAACAUCACAUGUAAUGUAAUGCAUGUUAAACAUUAUCAUUAAUAACACAAACAACCUUAUAAUUAAUUAACUAAUUACCUUUAAAUUUAGCAGCAGGGCACUUGAAGCCAUCAUUGACAAUGGAGAUGGUCUUGGGCAUCGGAGUAGACUUCUCUCCCAUCCCAAACUGCGUCCCUUUGAACGCAAUCUUAGCCUGAAUCUGGGUAUAAUCUCCGGCGGUAUCAAUCAUAGUUUUCAAAUCUGUCAUUGGAUACCCGGCAAAGUAUGCCCCUUUGGUUCCAACAUCGACGGGCAAAUCACCACCGUCAACCAUCUGAGCUCCUUCCGCGGCCACCAAGAUCUCCCGAUGCUGAAACCCUAUGUACAUCUUCCACGCCUUGAGCUCGGUCGACCCGGCGUUCAAGAUCGUCGCCUCCGACUUGAACGCCCAAGCCUGUGCCGACACAUUUUUCGUGUGCGGCAACUCCUUCUCCCUGGAGGUAAACGUGUACGACAAGAAAAUGCCAUCACAGUCUUCUUGCUCGGGAGGAGGAGCUGCCACAACAGCAUCUUCGUCUUGUCCGUAACAAAUCUCAACCCUAAAACAUGAAAACACCAAAAACACCACGAGCAUUGCUUGAAGAAAGGACGCGCGGGACGUCCAGGGUAUUUUCAUGCCCAUAUUACUUGUUUCCAUCAUUGCUUUUUACAAUAAUGUGGAGCGAGCUUUGAGGUUUCAAAUCUUUUCUUUUUGUUUUUGUCUAUUUUUCGAGGUUGAGGGUUGUUUCGUGUGUCGCUUGGGAGAGAGACAGAGAGAAAGAGAGAGAGAGAGAUCUAUUGAACGGUAGGCGGCCGCGCGAGGACGCGGCGAGUGAGAGAUGCUAUGAGGCCCUGGGAGGUCUGUGUAAACCCCAGGGUAGAGAGAGAUGGCUAGGUAAAAGAAGAGGAGCGACAUUAAAAGACUGGGUCAAGCUCUAUUUUCUUCCGCUAGUUUUAGCGGCAGGUUCGGAACGUUGUCCAUGCAACCGAUACUGUUUGAUUUCUGGUAGACAUUGUACGGAAAUAUAUCUGAUACACACGCUGUAAAUAGAUUUCGGUAUCGAAAACUAUGCCGUUUCUGAGUUUUUCUUUUCUCUUCUUGUUUUCGGACCGAAACCACCGAAACGGUUGCUGUGAUAACCUUCUAAUUAACUGUUUUGAGCUGGCAAAAACUGCAUGUCACAUAACUUGCAUUGGACUAGUUUGCUCACCUCAGAUUGCCGACAUGGCACUUCGAACCAAUCAUUUUUUUUAUUUUUAGUAAUCACAAAGUUCAAGUACUAAAAUAAAUAUAAAUUGGCAUGAAAAUGUGAAAGAGUCGAAUCUGUGUUGGAUAUCACUAUGCGAUGUGCUGCACAAAAGGGAUUGGCAUGAAAAAUCAGUAGCUAUGGGGAUCCUAGCUAGGUUUAUUUUGUUCUAGAUUUUUAGCCAAAAUGUUUUCUGAGAUUAAGUGGUUCUUAAUUUUGUCUACUCUACAUCAUUUUGGUCAUUCAAUGAAAAAUACGUUCAAUAUUCUUGUUAAGUUGAGAUGUUGGUUUGACAAAAAUACUCUUUGGAAAGGUAAACACGUAGUUGUUUACGUGACAAUUUAACAAAGAUAUUGACAACUUUUAUCACAAAAUGACCAAAUUGAUUUACGAUGGACAAACUCAAAUACUGCUUUUAUCAAUUAUCAUUGUCAAAGACCAAAGUAAGGAGAUCCAAUCUCAGAGACAAUUUUUGCUAAAAAGUCGGUUCUAUCUUCUUUCUUACUUUUUCAGUAUUUUAAUUACCCUUUAUUAAUUCUAUAAUGGAUAUAAUUGCGUGAAUGACUUGUAGCUCAAGUAGUUUAAAGUGCUCACUUUCAAUAAAGAGUACCCCUAUAUUUUCAUAUAAUUUUAAUUGAAUUGCUUUCUUCCACGCCUAUCCGCAGCACAGUCAUUAUUUGUUCAAGAAGUUAGCUCCCCGCUAAUACUUGGGAACUAGGGUAUCCAGUUAGUACAAUAAACAAGGCAACACAGCUAUAACCGAAGAUAAUAUCAAAACGCUAAUUAAGAAACCUACCCCUACGAUCUCUUAUGGUUACAUAUCCUGUUAAUUCAGUGUGCACGAUUUUCAUUACUUUAACCAAAUCAAGCGACAGUUAUCUCCGUCCCGCCGCUGAUUUCUUCAACGAACUGCGCUUUUGGCUCCAAGUCUAUGAACUGGUUGGACUUGCUAGCAAGAUGCGAAAUGCUUACCCUUCCCUGACGCUUAAUGUAGUCUGCUACAGCUUGCAUCUCCUCUUGGGAGAUGUAUAUGUAUUUCCCUCUGUCAUCCAUGACGCCAGAAAGUCGCCCUAACACAGACAAAUACAACAUUUUCAUUCUCAACGAAAAGGUAUUUUACCUUCUGAAGCAAAGGAAUGAAUUAUUCAUUAGGUACCACAAGUCACUGAGGAAAUAGCUCUGCACAUACCCAUACUCUCGAGAUUGGUAAUUCGAUAGAUGCAUUCCUGCAUGAACCAUCAGUUGCAUUGAAAAAUUAGUAAGCCAAAUCUGGCAAAUUAAGUUGACUAAUCACUUUCAGAAAAUAUACUUCCAUAUGCCUUACUAAAUUUCAAAUUAAAACUUCAUCUAUUAAUGCACUUUGAGGCACGAAGAAGACAUGAAAAUUGCUGAUUUAUGUGUUACUUCAGGAUAAAUAUAAGUUACCUGAGUCCUUAACUUAGAUUCAGCAGCAAGAUCUUCCAGAGGAAUGCAUUUAUGUUUCUGCAAUGUCAAAAUUAACAGUAGUAUUAAUAACAAAAUCACAACUCAACUUGAAAGCCUCAUGUCUCGAAUAGAAACAAAACGACACAAACAGUUAAAAGAUUAAUAAACUCUAAACUGGAUUGGAUAAGUUAGAAACUACAACCCAACCUUAAACCCCCAAAACUUAGAAGCUCCAUUUCAUCCCUAGUUUUGUGCAACCCGAUGGCGAUGGAGAUAUUAGGGGGCUAGAGUAUGGAACAAUAUCUUUGAAUGAAUUAACUGAACUCUACCUUUAUGUAUUCCACAAAAUCAGAAAGCAAAUCCUGACAUCCAUCCUGCACUUCAUUCUCGGUCAUACCUUCAGCAUCUAUUGAAAACUCGCCUUUCCACUUCUCAAACUCUAAAGCAGCAGCUUCCUCCUCCCUAGCCUUUUGAGCUUUGGCUUCUUCCUCCUACAAAACCGUGGCCAAAUCUUUGGGCAGUAACUUAACAACACAAUAAUACACAUCCUCAUUUUCCAAAACAGAAACAAAAGAGAGACGUCAACGCACCAGCUGACGCUCCUGUGCUUCACGCUCCUCAUCUUUCCUCCUCCGCAUUUCAGCAUAGCGGUCUUGUUUUGUUACCCUUGAUUCACGUGCAGCUUGUUCAGCCUUCAAAUAAAGAACGGACUCAAGUAAAUAAUUACUUGUGCUUCGAUUGAAGGGAAAAGGGAAGAAAAUAAUAUAAAAGCAGUACAAGUAAACCAUAAUCAAGGAUCCUCCGAGAGCAUAAGCAUAAACGCAAUUGAAGGUUUCAGUUACUUCCACCAUUUCGGUAAUUUAAAUCGAUUGAAUGAUGUAGUAAUCAAACUUCUAACAUGUCCUACACCUCAGUGACUACAUAGAAGUGGUUUCUGUCUUUAUUACUCAAUGUAGAUAGUUGGAUAAUUAGAAACUCGCUAAAAUUUAAGGCCUGUUGGGUAUUCAGGACAGGACAGGACACAUUAACUAGAAAUUUUAAUCAGGACCGGAGAGGGGGAGAGAGAGUAUGUGCAAUCCUUCAAAUCAGGAAGUAAAAGAAAGAAAGAAUACUUGUCGUUGUGCUUCCCGCUCUUGGCGCUUCUUUUCCCUCUUCUUGGAUGCUUUAGCAUCAUACUCGCCCUCAACAUCUUCCCCAUCACUUCCCUCAACGGAUUCUGUAUUUAAAAAUACAUACUAUGAGUUCAUUUGACAGAAUAACACAUUUUUCAACUUAUUUAAUAUCAUUAGCACUUAAAGCUAGCUAGCUAGUGCAAAAGCUCAUAUACAAAAUGUGCAGCUAUACAAGUCCAAAUUUGCACUUCAUACGCCGCGUACAUUUUCCAUACAGAAUACCUAAUACAUCCUUUACUUCCUCAAUUUUUGUACCCUCCUCAUGAAUCCAUAAACCUUAUGACUCCUCUCUGGAAAUAAUCAUCGGUCUACCCCAACAGAUCAAACCAUGUAAACCAUCAUCACCCCAAAUCCUAAUUUGAUCAAACCUUUAUCUCUCACAGAUACGGUUGCUUAUAUUUUCGUUCCAGAUUAUCUCGCCACUGCUUACCAAUUUAUUCAAUCCCGCCGCUGAGAUGCUCAGUUGAUGAUAUCUAUUUCAAUCACAAUUCAAUCAAUUACAAUCGCUUCUCGAAUCAAAGAGAAACGAACAUCACAAAACAGCAGAGUCACAAUUACUCAUGAACUUAAUCCAAUCUCUUACUAAUAUAAAAUCAAAUUUAGUCACUUCAAAGUAAAACACAAACCUUCUACACCUGGUGCAGCAGCAGCUGAUGUGCUUGCUCCAGAAGCCGGCCUCCUACGGAUCCAGCGACCGCCAGGCGCACGCACCACCGCCUCCCUCUGAGCAACCUAGAUCAAUAUGAACAAUCCAGAAAAAAUCUAUAUAACUAAAAACAAUUACGCUGCCGCCGAAUUAGGGCUCAAAGAAUCAAACCUGAGGUUCUUCUUCGUGUUCAUGCGAAGAUCGAGAAUCUUGACGGCGUUUCCAUAGAAAUAGUGGAAUUAAUCCCAAAACAAGAAGCAUAGAAAGAAAAAUUGCCAACAUUUCCUCCAUAUUUUCUCAAUCUCAGGCCCCGUUGAUGUUCCUUUUCUUUCUCUCAAUUCUAUUUUCUUAGGAAUUCUCGGAAACCAAACAAAGAGUUAGGGUAAAGCGAAUACCUUGAGAGCGGUUAAGCUUCGUACAAUCAAUGGAGCCUGGAACGGUUUGAAUAGUGAUUAUAGGACCUAAAUGUAAUUAGCAUGAAUUGGGAAUCAUUAAACUUACAUGGAUAAAAAAAAUUAAGAUUAUUACCUUAUAUUUGGAUGAAGAAAUUUAAGAUAUUAAUAAAUUUUAAAAUAAGGUAAAUUGAAAUAACGGAGUUUUAUUUUCUAAAAUUUGUGAAUUUUCUUAUUUGGUUAAUCUAAAAGAAUAAUGGAAUUGAAUACAAAAUUUAAUAUUUUUAAACUCUCAAUAGUAGAAAUUUAGAAAUACACCUAUUUAAUUUACAUGGAAUUUAAACUUGGGAAAAUUAUAAAUUUCUAUUUAUGAAUUUAAACAAGGGAAUUGGUGCAUGUCAAUUUAUAAAUUCUGACUUUUAUCUAAAUCCCAAAUUUAUUUUCCUCGUCUUAACAUAGUGUUAGAGAUUAGAUUUCUUCUGUUGUAUAAAUCAUUUUAUUUCUAUAGAGAUUUUUCUGUGUUCGAAAUAAAGACGUGUCAUUAUAAUACAAGUAAUGAGAUGCUUGUAUUAAAAAUUAACAACUUAAACAAUAAAACAUCCCUCCACUUAUAUAAUGACAUAGAAUAUAUUGUUCGUGUUACGCGCACAACCGCACAAUGAAAGAUUCCCGUAUUUCUCUAUACAUAAAUAUUCACACAAUUAUCACUUUUUCAAAAUUUAAAUAUUUUAAAGUCAAAAUAUUUAUAAAAAUGAAUAUGAUUUUUAGUUUAAUUUUAUAUAAAUAUCCUUUAAUAAUAUGUGACUUGAAUUUCAAGGCAAAAGAAGGAAAAAAAUUGUUUCUGACAUAUGAAAAUUGUCUAGGUUAAAUUUUUAAAUUUUAACCCACACUAUUAGAUAUGAUCUAUCAUAAAAUAGCUGAAUGAAAACAAAGUUUCACGUUCAAUUUUGAAUUAAAGACGUUAAAAAUAAUGAAUCAACGACGUUAAAAAUAAUGAAUCAACGACGUUAAAAAUAAUGAAUCAACGUCGACUAUAACCCCUUACCUUCCAAGCUACCGAUGCGAAUUCGAAUCUCAAAACUAACGAGCUUGCAACCAUUAUAUCAAAUAUCCAUCUAUGUCCCCUAAUAUUCUAUUUAUACUCUUCGUUCAUCCACGAAAACUCGAUAAUUGCUUGGCACGCUGUCUGUCAUUAUCGUGCUUAGCAAAUAACACAUCUCGUGCGAAUUGAGAGCCUUUAGGAUCGCAACUACGUGCCUCUCUGCAACCGCGCAGCAGCACCCAUCAAUUCCCUCUCCCCUAUUUCCCACAAAUUGCCCACACCCCUCGAACCCACAACCUCGACUUACUCCCCUACCCCAAGACUUCUUCAGCGAAUACCCAAAAAAACCCAUAAAUUUUUUUUAAAACGGUAAUAACAGAGAGACUAAAUUUUUAAAUUAAAUUUGCAAAUACAUACCUAAGAAUCAAAUGAUGUGAUGCUACCAUUUCAUUUCCAACGAGUCCGAGCCAAACAUCCAACGCACACAGAGAAUCCAUCCAUCCACAUUAUUAUCAAAACUCACGUAUGUCCCAAAACACAUCAAAUAUCUACAACAGCCAUCACUUAGCCACCAUAAAAAAUCGCUCGCUCACUCAACCGCGCUAUUAUUUUCGGCUUGAAACUGGUUUUUCCCUUGUUUAUUAACAUAAAACGUCUGGAACUGGUUUUUCCCUUGUUUAUUAACAUAUAAGGUGACAAUUAAGCCUCGGCGAUCUCAGCGGAUUCUGCAGCAGCUAGGAUCAGCUCCGGCUGGAUGCCUCCGACGUAUGAUCCAUCCAAUGCGUUGGGGAGUCCCAGUGCCUUCAAUGCCAAGUGAGCUGCCUUUUGCCCUGAGAUCAUCAUGGCUCCGAAUGUAGGUCCCUGCAUCCCCAAUAAUGUUACAAAUUAUAUUAUUAGGACUACGUUGAUAUCGACGGAUACCAAACCCACAAUGUUUAUAUCAAGUGGGAAUCUUAUUAGGACCACAUAAAGAUCUAGUAAUGGUACUAUUCCAAACAUAAAAGAACAGGAAAAGAAUGGAAGAGCUUUUGGACCCACGUUCUUUCGAAAUCACUAUGCAUGGAUUGAGGCUUAAGUAAUUCUACGGUCCUAAGGUGUUUUUGUUUCGUAAUUAAACGCCGAGGGGAGAGGCCACUGUCUAUCUACGCUGUGCAUUUACAUGUCAAAAUUCGAAGCUUAAAACUAGGACGUUAUGCUUGAUAAAUCAAAUAUUCUAAUCCUUAAUGUUUUAUCUAAAUCGUCUAAGCCCACCACCGCGAUCACCAUUUUGACUAAAUGUGAUCGCGAUGGCUUGAAGCGGUUGGAUAAAAUCAGCCAAGCACAGUAAUGGCUAUACCAAAAAGUAAAACAGUAAAUAAAUCAAGAACAAAUGGAAUGAGUCAGAAAUGUACCAUUCUUGGGGAUCCAUCAAUCUCGGCAACUUCCAUGCCGGUGACGAUCAUUCCUGGCACAAUUUCCCUUGUGAGCUUCACGAUAGCAUCCUCAGCUGCGUUCAUGUCCAAGGCCUUCAUCCCGGGCACGCUCUCAAUCAUCCCAACGCUCCUCAGCCUCUUUACGCCGGUGGCUCCCAUGGGUCCGUCAUGACCACAUGAGCUCACCACAACCUUGGCCUCCAUGACGUUGGGGUCCAUGCACGACUGUGUGUCGUGGUUCAUUGAGACCAAGGCCCAGUUGGUGACCACCCCACCAACUCUGCCACCCUUAAUGAUCAAGUCCUCGGCGGCCACAGCGUUGAAGAGCUUCACGUUGGGCCGGGCAAGGAGCUUGCUCAUGAUGGUGGAGGUGAAUAGGGCGGCGUGCUUGAUGACAACGUAGUUGUCUUGCUCAUCGUAGUCAAUGCCGAGCUCGUUAAGGAAGAGAUGGGCGGGUUUGCGCACAACCUAUAUAUGUCAACAUAUAAAUUAAAUCUUAAGUACUACAAAAUAUAAGACAAAAUAUUUUCAAAAUUUUCAAGUUAGAACAUUGAAAUAUUUUCGAAAUUUAUGUUGCUUUCCAAAAUUGUACUUUUAAUUUUCAUAGCAUUCAUUUCUCACUAGAACAUUUAACCAAAUAUAAGGCCAACCCAUUUAACGGAAUAAGACUUGGUUGCAAUUGUUGUAAUGUUAACUAAAUAGCGGGAUUAUCUCGCUUCCAUAAAUUCACCAUAAUCAAGCAAUCUAAUUGUGAUUCAUUAGUGCAUAGAUGAAAUCUAUAUAUAUUGUAUAUUUGGAAUUAAUUAAUAAGGAAUUACUUUUCUACAAAAUAUACAAAAUUUGUUUGAUUUACGAAUGAAAAUACAACAAUAUCAAACUAUUUAAUUAAUUACAAAAAUGGAAAUAAAGAAAUAAAUUACAAAAAAUAAAUUAACGAAUAUUUAUGCAAAUAAAAACAGACAUGCAUAACGAUACAGGUCAAAUUAUCCAAACAAGAUGGGGCAUGCGCGACACGUGUCACAGUCAAACGUUUCAUUCAUUUUACCGACAAACAUGAAUUUCAAAUUAACAAACAAUUUCCCAGAAAAAAGGCCAAAAAUUAAGCACCCGGAAACCUUAAACGACCAAAAAUGAUAAUUAAACUACAACAAAUCAUUAAUUAAAAGUUUCAAUAACUUUCCAAAAAUAUUAAAAUUAAUCAUAAAUGACAGUAAUUACCAUGGCAGAGAAGAGCUGGCCACCGAGCCAUGCACCUCCACCGGGGCUGACGGACUGCUCGAUGAUGGCGACCUGAACGUCGGGGUUCUUGCUGAGUUCGUAGGCGCAGGAUAGCCCGGCGGAGCCAGCACCGACGACAACGACGUCGGUGUCGGCGUAGGUGAUCAUGUCAGUCAUGUAGCGCCUUGUCAUCUCCCGGGAGACGAUGGAUUCCUUGAUGGGGUCGAACUUGAAAGCGCUCAAGUCGUAGGAGGGGGUCAAGCCGUUGGCGGACAUGGAGACGGAGAGGCCGCCGUUGUUGGCGGGGGCCGCCUUGGCCAGCUGAAGGCGGACCAUGGGAGCGCCAUGGAAGGAGGAGUCGAGGAGGGAGGACUUCUGGAGCUUGGCGGUGAGGGAGGAGGAGGUGAGGGUGGAAGCCAUGGUUGCCAUUGAUUGAUGCGAGAGAAGGAGAGAGAGGGAGAGAGAGAGAAGAUGAUAAGAUGGGGUGAUUUGGGGGUUUAGCGUUUGCAAGUCAGAAGAUGGAAGUGAAGAGAGUGGUUAUUUAAGGAGGAGGGUGACGUAUAUGUAAAAUUGAAGAUGGACACGUGGGAAGAGGAUAGGAUAUGAAGGGUCUAGAACCUCUUGGGAGGUACAAGUGGCAAGCAUGAACCAGUCCACGGUGUGUGUUUGAGUGUGAGGAGAGUGAAUAGAGAGGGAAAUGUUAGAUGACAAAGUUUAUA
This 30318-nucleotide long non-coding RNA is filed under the name Malus domestica (apple). Its description in RNAcentral is "long non-coding RNA (MDOM_LNC003322)". The record is from RNAcentral. Lineage: Eukaryota; Viridiplantae; Streptophyta; Magnoliopsida; Rosales; Rosaceae.